AUGAAGCCCUCUGCAGAUGUUGUCCUCCCAUAUGGUAUCCCAUAUGGCUGUAUUUCACUGCUGCUUGGUUUCAAAAGAUCUCUCUCUCCAGAGGCUGCUGAAAGGAGGAGCAGUGUGAGAAAAGAUGAGAGAAGGGGCUUGCAGAAAUCUAGAAGAGGAGGAAGAGGAGAAGUCAGGACGUAUCCACACACAGCGUGUGCCUCAGGGAGCCGCUGCAGGAACUGCAGACAGCAUGGCCUUUGGCACGAGAUGCUCAGGAGGGGGAGGAAUGGUGCUCAGAAGCAGUGCUGCAAUUGGGCAUUUUCUGGCGUGAAGCACAAGGCAGAUCUCCUUCCAGGGCAAGGACACAACAGUGGGGCACAGGGUAAGCAGUGCACGUGCAGGGACUCCUGGCACCCUCUGCUGAGCAGCCACAUGAGGGCUGUUCAGGUGCAGAUGCUCAUCUGGAGGUGCUGAAGGUACAGCCCUUUCCCAGCACUGCCCGUGUAUGGAGCCUUGGUGACCACAUUUCCACUCUGGGUGCACUGUUUGGGUCUGACAGACAGGCCCACAGAAGGUAUCACCUGCAAGGCCAACACAGACCUCUGUCAGGGCUCGUGACACUGCCCCUUACAUGCUGGGCAGACAGAGACUGCUGCAGACUUAAAGCACAAAAACUUAUUCAGUCCCCAGCAAGUGUUAGGAGAAAGCAAAAACCAUGGCCUUCUCCACAUCCAAUUCCCUCCAACAAUGAGAUCGUUAGGGGAGAACACCCAAAUCACCCAAUUACCAAGUAGAAUGAAUCUCUUCUGCCUCUACACCUCCCUGAUCUCCAGGAUCCAGGGCCAUCACAAACCUCCAGUAGUUGUCACCACUACCCCAAAAUACUUUCUCCAGCUACUAAGUCCCUUGCAACUGGACCUAGACCUGUGUCUGACUUCCUGGCAGAAAUUGCUGCUGCAGGUGUAAGCUGCUGCCCUGCUUUUCCACCAAGAAAGGCAAUACCUGUCCCAAAUAGACAGAGAACAAGAAAAAGGAGCUCCAUCUCCACAGUGCACUUCACAGUAAGUGCUAUAAUUUAUAGCACAUAAAUACUGUACAUACACCGCUGCGUUUUGCAGACAUUAUCAUCUCAAAGGGUGGGUAGGAGGUGGGAAAACAGCUUGUAACAACUGGAGCUUAGACAGCUGCUUUCUUUGCCACGUCUAAUGCUGUUUAGGGAGGUAAAAUAGGUCUACCCAGCAGUGCCUCUGCUUCUGCUAGGAUACACUGCAGCUCCAUGUGAGGCUUCUGCUGAAUAAUUGGGCUCAAGGCAGAAUCAUGUAAACAGUCUUGUAGGGGCUUUCUGGGAAAAAAAAACAAACAACAUUCCUGACUCCAAGCCUAUCCCUUUCCCAGAAAUAAACUGCACUGUCCUCAUGCUGGGCUUUUGCACUGCUUCUAACACAGUCUGUGUGACCCAACCACUGUGGAUGAAAAUCUGUGCACAGGAUUAAUCUCCCACAAUGCCAGGUAGCACAGCUAAUGGCAUCUUUCAGCUGCAUACAAGACUACUUUAAAA
RNAcentral lists this long non-coding RNA (1540 nucleotides) under Ficedula albicollis (Collared flycatcher). RNAcentral describes it as "lncRNA (ENSFALG00000023725.1)". The record is from RNAcentral. Lineage: Eukaryota; Metazoa; Chordata; Aves; Passeriformes; Muscicapidae.